RNAcentral lists this ribosomal RNA (468 nucleotides) under uncultured bacterium. RNAcentral describes it as "partial 16S ribosomal RNA". It matches the Rfam family "Bacterial small subunit ribosomal RNA", at positions 28 to 507 of the family's 1533-position model. The record is from RNAcentral.
GACGAACGCUGGCGGCGUGCUUAACACAUGCAAGUCGAACGGAAAGGCUCUGCUUUUGUGGGGUGCUCGAGUGGCGAACGGGUGAGUAACACGUGAGUAACCUGCCCUUGACUUUGGGAUAACUUCAGGAAACUGGGGCUAAUACCGGAUAGGAGCUCCUGCUGCAUGGUGGGGGUUGGAAAGUUUCGGCGGUUGGGGAUGGACUCGCGGCGUAUCAGUUUGUUGGUGGGGUAGUGGCUUACCAAGGCUUUGACGGGUAGCCGGCCUGAGAGGGUGACCGGCCACAUUGGGACUGAGAAACGGCCCAGACUCCUACGGGAGGCAGCAGUGGGGAAUAUUGCACAAUGGGCGGAAGCCUGAUGCAGCAACGCCGCGUGCGGGAUGACGGCCUUCGGGUUGUAAACCGCUUUCACCUGUGACGAAGCGUGAGUGACGGUAAUGGGUAAAGAAGCACCGGCUAACUACGUG